This is a long non-coding RNA of Homo sapiens (human), 1447 nucleotides long. Lineage: Eukaryota; Metazoa; Chordata; Mammalia; Primates; Hominidae. The record is from Ensembl.
UUUCUAUAUGUGAGUUUUCAAAUAUAGUGUGAUUUAUCCCCAGAAAAAAUUCCCAGUCUUCUAAUCCCGUAACUGGGAGCCACUUGGAGUUUGCCAGUAAACUUUCCUAAGUUCCUGCUGUAUCACUCCUCUGUUGCUUUCUAGAAUUGUCCUGACUGAAAGUGGAGGUCUUUGAUAGAAAAUGGAACCAUCUUCAGUGUUCUUAAUGUUAACUUUGCACAUAUCAUUUUCACUCUAAGUUGCUAUAAUUUUCAGUAGGUGCUGUACCUAAAUCACGUUACCUCCUAAAUUCCUCUUCUUUUCAGACAUAGAGAUAAAACAGUAUUAGAAGGACUCCAAGAAGCCUGGAAGAGGGAUGAAGCCACUUUGGAAUGCUGCCUCCAUAUUUGUUCUUUUGGUUAAUUCACUUCUUGGCACUACCACCAGAGGGCAGGCAAAGGAAGGGAGAAGCAGCAAUCACUUUUAGUGGGAAGUCUACCAUCUGCAAGCCCGGAAGAGAGGCUUCACCAGAAACGGAAUCAGCCAGCACUUUGAUCUUGGACUUUCCAGCCUCCAUAACUGCAAGAAAAAUGCAUUUCUAUUGUUUAAGCCACCCAGUCUAUGGUAUUUCCUUAUGGCAGCCCAAGCUGACUAAGACACAUGAUAUUCCAUCAAAAACAGAUGUUAUUUCAUCAGGGGUUGUCACAGUCACAAUAAUUGGAUGCGAAGACAUCAAAGAAUCAUCCUCUUGAACAGAUGACAGGCCGAGAAGACAUCAACUUCUGUGAAUUCUGCUUCUGCGACUUCUGUGUGACUUUUGGAUAUGUGCCAAACUUUUCAAGCCCUAUUUCUAUAUCUGUGCAAUGAGAAUGAUGACAUCACUCCACAGAUUUGGUCUAAGAAUUAAGAGAGGUUGCAUAUCAAUUUGCCAAAUAUUGAUGUUCAGGUUUUUCUAAUAUUAACUUGUUAUUGGAAUUUGGAUACUUCAUAAUUAAUGAAAGAAAAUAUUGGCAGUUUAUCCUUUAGUUCUAAUCACCUCUCGUUUCCCUCCUAGGUCUUGUCAGCAAUACAGACUGGUUGACAGGCCUAGCAGUACUGUCAGAUUUCCUUGGUUCAAAGCUCAGUCUUUUUACUUUCUAGAUAUAUAAGUUUAAGCAAGUUUCCUCACCCAUUAAAUAGAAGUAAUUAUGGCCUGUACUUUUUGGAACUGUGCACAGGACUCAGUGAUAAAAUUCAUGGUUAGUACUUGGCAUAGUACCUGGCACAGAAUGAGAACCUAACCCAUUAGCUGCUAUAGUUAUUUUGACUCUUAAGCAGUAAGAUUCUGAAAUCUAACUCUGCUAAAUCACUACUAACUUUAAAAAUUUCAUUGGCUCUACUUAAUUAAAAAUAUUUCCAAAACAGGAGUAUGUUGUAUUGGCUUACAUUUUCCAAUUAUGCGGGUUUCAUUUAUAACAGGAAAGGUACU